Molecule: ribosomal RNA, 462 nt
Filed under: uncultured bacterium
Lineage: Bacteria
Description: bacterial SSU rRNA
Rfam family: Bacterial small subunit ribosomal RNA
Source: RNAcentral
GAUGAACGCUGGCGGCGUGCCUAACACAUGCAAGUCGAGCGAUGAAAUUUCCUUCGGGAAAUGGAUUAGCGGCGGACGGGUGAGUAACACGUGGGUAACCUGCCUCAUAGUGGGGGAUAGCCUUCCGAAAGGGAGAUUAAUACCGCAUAACAUCAUUAGAUGGCAUCAUUUAGUGAUCAAAGGAUUUAUUCGCUAUGAGAUGGACCCGCGUCGCAUUAGCUAGUUGGUAGGGUAAUGGCUUACCAAGGCGACGAUGCGUAGCCGACCUGAGAGGGUGAUCGGCCACAUUGGGACUGAGACACGGCCCAGACUCCUACGGGAGGCAGCAGUGGGGAAUAUUGCACAAUGGGGGAAACCCUGAUGCAGCAACGCCGCGUGAGUGAUGACGGUCUUCGGGAUUGUAAAGCUCUGUCUUUGGGGACGAUAAUGACGGUACCCAAGGAGGAAGCCACGGCUAACUAC